GACGAACGCUGGUGGCGCGCCUAACACAUGCAAGUCGAGCGAUGAACAUUGAAUGAUCCCUUCGGGGUGAUUUCGAUCGGAUUAGCGGCGAACGGGUGAGUAACGCGUGAGGAACCUGCCUCUUACAACGGGAUAGCCUCGGGAAACCGGGAUUAAUACCGUAUAAGACUCCGACAUCUCCUGAUGAUGAAGUCAAAGCGUUAGCGGUAAGAGAUGGCCUCGCGUCUGAUUAGCUUGUUGGCGGGGUAACGGCCCACCAAGGCGACGAUCAGUAACCGGCCUGAGAGGGUGAACGGUCACAUUGGAACUGAGACACGGUCCAAACUCCUACGGGAGGCAGCAGUGGGGAAUCUUGCACAAUGGGGGCAACCCUGAUGCAGCGACGCCGCGUGAGCGAUGAAGGUUUUCGAAUCGUAAAGCUCUGUCCUAUGGGAAGAUAAUGACGGUACCAUGGGAGGAAGCCCCGGCUAACUACGUGCCAGCAGCCGCCGUAA
RNAcentral lists this ribosomal RNA (494 nucleotides) under uncultured bacterium. RNAcentral's name for it is "partial 16S ribosomal RNA". It matches the Rfam family "Bacterial small subunit ribosomal RNA", at positions 28 to 523 of the family's 1533-position model. The record is from RNAcentral.